GACCUUAGUUGCCAGCAUUCAGUUGGCACUCUAAGGUGACUGCCGGCUAAAAGUCGGAGGAAGGUGGGGAUGACGUCAAAUCAUCAUGCCCUUAUGACCUGGGCUACACACGUGCUACAAUGGGCGGUACAAAGGGUCGCGAACCCGCGAGGGGGAGCCAAUCCCAAAAAGCCGCUCUCAGUUCGGAUUGCAGGCUGCAACUCGCCUGCAUGAAGCCGGAAUCGCUAGUAAUCGCGGAUCAGCAUGCCGCGGUGAAUACGUUCCCGGGCCUU
Molecule: ribosomal RNA, 272 nt
Filed under: uncultured Anoxybacillus sp.
Lineage: Bacteria; Bacillati; Bacillota; Bacilli; Caryophanales; Anoxybacillaceae
Description: partial 16S ribosomal RNA
Rfam family: Bacterial small subunit ribosomal RNA
Source: RNAcentral